GACGAACGCUGGCGGCGUGCUUAACACAUGCAAGUCGAACGGAAAGGCCCUGCUUUUGUGGGGUGCUCGAGUGGCGAACGGGUGAGUAACACGUGAGUAACCUGCCCUUGACUUUGGGAUAACUUCAGGAAACUGGGGCUCAUACCGGAUAUGAGCUCCUGCUGCAUGGUGGGGGUUGGAAAGUUUCGGCGGUUGGGGAUUGACUCGCGGCUUAUCAGCUUGUUGUUGGGGUAGUGGCUUACCAAGGCUUUGACGGGUAGCCGGCCUGAGAGGGUGACCGGCGACAUAGGGACUGAGAUACGGCCGAGACACCUAAGGGAGGCAGAAGUGGGGAAUAUUGAAAAAUGGGCGGAAGCCUGAUGCAGCAACGCCGCGUGCGGGAUGACGGCCUUAGGGUUGUAAACCGCUUGCGCAUGUGACGAAGCGUGAGUGACGGUAAUGGGUAAAGAAGCACCGGCUAACUACGUG
This 468-nucleotide ribosomal RNA is filed under the name uncultured bacterium. RNAcentral describes it as "partial 16S ribosomal RNA". It matches the Rfam family "Bacterial small subunit ribosomal RNA", at positions 28 to 507 of the family's 1533-position model. The record is from RNAcentral.